This is a small nucleolar RNA of Anabas testudineus (climbing perch), 127 nucleotides long. Its record names the gene SNORA71. It matches the Rfam family "Small nucleolar RNA SNORA71". From Rfam's summary of the family: The members of this family belong to the H/ACA class of snoRNAs which bind a number of proteins (including dyskerin, Gar1p and Nop10p) to form snoRNP complexes. This class of snoRNAs are thought to guide the sites of modification of uridines to pseudouridines by forming direct base pairing interactions with substrate RNAs. This family includes U71 (SNORA71), ACA39 (SNORA39) and ACA60 (SNORA60). Lineage: Eukaryota; Metazoa; Chordata; Actinopteri; Anabantiformes; Anabantidae. The record is from Ensembl.
CCCUGUAUCGAAAGUGAUCAUGGCGUCUCUGUUGCCAGGUCAUUGAUAGUACAGGAAGAUGAACCUGAUAGCCUUUCCCGUGUCUGAAGGAAACUCAGUUCCUGUCAGACCCUGGCGCUCUCAGACA